Dreissena polymorpha is the source of this 1211-nucleotide long non-coding RNA. RefSeq lists it as uncharacterized. The transcript has 3 exons. The record is from RefSeq and is a predicted model, not a curated record. Lineage: Eukaryota; Metazoa; Mollusca; Bivalvia; Myida; Dreissenidae.
UCAAGUUGCUAUCUUCAUUAUUGCAAUUAUAGUUAUGGCCAAAUGUUAAAGUUUGUGCAAAUCAACAAACCAACAAACCAACAGACAGGGCAAAAACAAUACAUGUAUGUCCCCCAGUAUAGACUGGGGGACAUAAACAUUGUUAUUGCUGAUAUUUCAAUUCACCUUUAAUUUAUUUUAUUUUUUGCUAAUUUUGCUCUUCUUUAAUUGUUAUUUCAUUAAAGUUUUAUAAAUAACAAGAUUUGGUGGUUUUCAUCCUUUUAAAUAUUUAACACAAUACUAUUUUAAUUAUAUAUUUAUGUUAUCAAAAUGAAUCAAGUUUCUAUGCAUGAUAAACUAUAAUAGAAAUGUAUAGUAGUUUAAAUUUCUAAAACACAUUUUCCCAGUCUCAAACUCCAUGAAAUGAUACAUAAAUGACAAUGUUUGUUUAAUCAGAUAAACACUGACCCUCAGCUGACCUGGACCUGGUUUUCUGCAGCCCCAAUAUUCCCUGACAAUGCUGAGCCCUCAUACAAGAACCUGAUUAUAAAACCAUCUGGUUAACAGGCUUUGGAUUGGUUACUAGUAAUUCACAGGAAGUUGUUUACAUGUAUUUGAAUCAAGAGCGUUUAAACAACUGACUGACCUAAAUUGUAGGUAUAAUUCCAAGCAACAUGAGGACUUAACAUUGUAGUGUAGAAAAUACCAUGCAAUUCUGAUAGCAAGGGAGUAUUGUGUGAAAAAACAAUGUGUAAUUAAUACAGUGUGGAAAUGAACAAUAAGUUUGUUUCAAAAGAGGUUCAAAGUGGCUGGUUACUGUGUUUUGGUCUCUGAGGAUUCUUCACUGUGUUUUUGGAAUACUACAGAACAGCAUAAAGAUUAUAUCAUAGGAUGGGGGGAAAAAAGGAGACUGCAACAGCUGAGCAGCACAAAAGCAGACAGUGUACAAACCAACACCAGUACAGCUUACAUACGGUGUAGUGGAAGCCAACAAAAUAAACAUGAAGUCUCCAGCUAAUGGCUUGAGUUGGACCACUGUGAUCAAAGUCUGCAAGGGACUUAUCAUUGGGAGGAAUGUGAAAGGAGAUCUGGUCUUAAAAAGGUUCACCUUCAUCCAGAACACGAAGUGUACAUUACUCAGGGGCAACUUUCACAAGAACGGCAUGCUGGAGCCAUUAAAAUCCACAAAAGUUAACAAUUGCUCUGCUGGAUGUCCUUUUCAGCAGGGAACA